This 490-nucleotide ribosomal RNA is filed under the name uncultured Ascomycota. RNAcentral's name for it is "partial 18S ribosomal RNA". The stretch from base 108 to 261 matches the Rfam family "5.8S ribosomal RNA". Lineage: Eukaryota; Fungi; Ascomycota. The record is from RNAcentral.
CCCGUGUUGCCCGAACCUAUGUUGCCUCGGCGGGCCCCGCGCCCGCCGACGGCCCCCCUGAACGCUGUCUGAAGUUGCAGUCUGAGACCUAUAACGAAAUUAGUUAAAACUUUCAACAACGGAUCUCUUGGUUCCGGCAUCGAUGAAGAACGCAGCGAAAUGCGAUAACUAAUGUGAAUUGCAGAAUUCAGUGAAUCAUCGAGUCUUUGAACGCACAUUGCGCCUUCUGGUAUUCCGGAGGGCAUGCCUGUCCGAGCGUCAUUGCUGCCCUCAAGCCCGGCUUGUGUGUUGGGCCCCGUCCCCCCCGCCGGGGGGACGGGCCCGAAAGGCAGCGGCGGCACCGCGUCCGGUCCUCGAGCGUAUGGGGCUUCGUCACCCGCUCUAGUAGGCCCGGCCGGCGCCAGCCGACCCCCAACCUUUAAUUAUCUCAGGUUGACCUCGGAUCAGGUAGGGAUACCCGCUAAACUUAAGCAUAUCAAUAAGCGGAGGA